Molecule: RNA transcript, 1461 nt
Organism: Zingiber officinale
Lineage: Eukaryota; Viridiplantae; Streptophyta; Magnoliopsida; Zingiberales; Zingiberaceae
Exons: 3
Source: RefSeq, a predicted model, not a curated record
ACUAGACAUAGAAUUUGGUGGACACCUUGUGCGGCGCAUUGCAUUGAUCUAAUGUUGGAGGAUAUUGCAAAGUUGAAGAUUUUUUCUGAUACAAUUGAGCAUGCUAAGAUGGUUGUGAAGUUCCUUUAUGGUCAUGGGACUAUACUUUCUUUGAUGAGAAAGUAUACAAACGGUAAAGAAAUUCUCCGUCCCGCUGUUACUCGCUUUGCUACUUCAUUUCUCACUCUUCAGAGUAUGUAUAAGGUUAAAAGGCCACUUGAACAAAUGUUUGCUUCCGAAGAUUGGGUUAGUUCACCACUAUCUCAAACAACUCAGGGGAAGGUCGUGAAGAGAAUUGUUAUUAAUGAUCCCAACUUUUGGCCACAUGUUGCAUUUUGUGUUAAGAGUGUUGUUCCUCUUGUAAGUGUGUUAAGGGAAGUUGAUUCGGAGGAGAGAUCGGCCAUGGGAUAUAUUUAUGAACUUAUGGAUAAGGCAAAAGAGACAAUAAAAUUUAAUUGUGGGGGAGUUGACAGAAAAUACAAACCCAUUUGGAAAAAAAUUGAUUCACGAUGGACUCCACAACUUCAUCAUCCUCUACACGCGGCCGGGUACUAUUUGAAUCCACAAUUGCGUUAUGAAGAAAGAUUUUCUUAUUGUGAUGAAGUUAGAGAUGGAUUGUAUACUUGCAUGGAUAGGAUGUUGUCUUCUGAUGAUCGUCUUAAAGCAGACAUCCAAUUGGACUUAUAUGAUAAAGCUGAAGGAGAAUUUGGAACUCCAAUAGCAAAACGAACAAGAAUGUUGCGAACUCCGGGUAAAAUUUUCUUCUUGUAACCGUUCUUGUAAAAUUAUACUAGCAUUCAUAUUUUAAAAUUAUAUACAUUCUUGUAAUUUUUUUUAAUGUUAUUACUUAUUAGUCUCGUGGUGGGAACGUUUUGGAAGUAAGACACCCGAGCUUACUACAUUUGCAAUUCGAGUGCUUGGUCUCACUUGUAGUGCUUCGGGAUGUGAAAGAAAUUGGAGCACUUUUGAAUCGAUUCAUACAAAAAAGAGAAAUAGGCUUGAACAUGCAAAGUUGAAUGCGUUGGUGUUUGUGAAAUAUAACUUCAAGCUUAGGGAGAGAAGUAUUAGGAGGAGAGACAAGAUUGAUCCCAUUGUAGUUGAUGAAAUUAAUUCAGAUGACGAAUGGAUAACUGAGAAAGAAGGUCCAGUUCUCCCCGUAACUACUAAAUGGCUUGAAGAUGAUGAAUUAUUUGAAAGUGAUCCUAUUGUGAGUGUGCCAUCUGCUACCUUUGAAAGUCUUUUUGACUCAGAUAAGCGAGUCGAAGAUGUUGAGGAUAUAGUUGAAGUUCCUCCUACGAAUUCAAAAAAAAGAGUUGCUGAAAAUUCAAGUGGAAGCAAAGACAAACAAGCAAGGUUGAGUCUUGUUGAUGUGGAAGAUAAUCAUCUUGAUGCUGAAAAUUAUGGAGUAAUUCCAACUUUUGA